Molecule: long non-coding RNA, 4023 nt
Filed under: Heterocephalus glaber (naked mole-rat)
Lineage: Eukaryota; Metazoa; Chordata; Mammalia; Rodentia; Bathyergidae
Description: lncRNA (ENSHGLG00100035629.1)
Source: RNAcentral
GCUUCUUUUUUUUUUUUUUUUUUUUUUUUGAGAGAGAGAAGAUUGCUCAAUUGCUCAGGCUAGGGAUUGAACUUUUGUUUUAUUUGGUUUUUUGGUUUGGGGAGGGUUUUUUGGUACUGGGGAUCGAACUCGGCUCCUUGCACUUGUGCAGCCGGCAGCAAAACCACUGAGCUAAAUCCCCGGCCCAAGACAACACUUCUUACUGAACUAUCCAAAAAAGAAUUUAAUUCAUCCAUUAAAAAAAAAAAAAGAUUACACAAAAGUUAUUUCUACAAUGACUUCUGUACUUCAGACCUCUUAUACUUAAAAACUUUUUAAAAACUUUGUAGACUCCAACAUGUUGAGGAAUUUUAUGUGAUUGAUCCUUCUCUUGUUGGAAGGGCUGAGAUGAGGUUAAUAAGUUAUGGAUGCUAUUUUUCUGAUGGCCUGGCUCAAUAAUAUGGAGAUUCUGAUGUGUUAGGGUUACAUAUACAUACUUUUCAAGAUUUUCUGUACUUCUCAUUUAUUGGAGGAUCUCACUUUCUUGGUACUGAAAAGCCUUAUUCAGACCCACAAAGGUCCUGGGUACCCAUACCUGAAAUGUUCAAAAGGGGACAAUGGACCAGUUCAUUCCCUUUCAAGUCAAAGUAACAGGACAAGAGAAAAUCCUGACACCCUUUUCCAGUAGCUGGUUCACCUCAGACACUCUCAUGAACACCUUUAAUCUUAAAAAAUUUUGAUCAUUAUUCCAAAAAAUACAUUGAAAGUGAAAAAUUAUUCAAUGUGAUGAAAUACCAGAACAAUAUCAUAUUUACAAAUGACAUAUUGAAAUCAAAAGCUGUUUCAUUUCACUGAGGCAUCUACCAUUCAGGGUUCUUUUAUGUAUUGUCAGAUUGAAAAAACAAAUUUUAAGCAUUAUAGUGAAGAUUAUGAACUUCUGAUGUUUUUAAACCUACUUUACAGUAUUACUUUUGUACUUAACAAAUAGUACCAGAUGGAAAUUUAUUAUUUCUUGCAUUUCCCAUGAGAGCUGUAUUCUUUAGGCAUUACCUCUGCUGUUUUACUUUCUUCCCAAAAUGAUUAGAGGAUUACAACCAUCAAAAACAAGCCCUGGCAUGGAAAUGUUCUCUCCUUUUCUUUCUCUUCUUUCUCUUCUUUCCUCCUUCCUGUCACAAAAGCUGAAAAAUAAGAUCCAAUCCUUCUCUCAUCACAUGUGCACACCCAGGACACUGAAUGAAUUCAGGGGUCAGUGCUACUGUCACAGCACCACCAGUUAAGACACAGAGACAGCUAUGAUGACAGUUUCUCCCUCUGAAGGGGUUAUAGUGUGGUCACCAGACAGGGCACAAAAAGUGGGAUAAGGCAGCAAUUAACUUAACCGCCAAGUGAGUGCUGGAAAUCUUGGCCUCUUUUGGGAACCAUCAGCUCCACCUUCCUACAUCUGUUUAUGAAGACCAUAUCCAGUACACUCUAAAUGAUAAAUAAUUCGAUUAUGAGAAGGAGAAGGAGAAGGAGAAGGAGAAGAAGAAGGAGAAGGAGAAGAAGAAGAAGAAGAAGAAGAAGAAGAAGAAGAAGAAGAAGAAGAAGAAGAAGAAGAAGAAGAAGAAGAAGAAGAAGAAGAAGUGACCCAUUUUUCCAAUUCCCUCCUUGACAGCUUAGCACAAGGAAAAUUGAAUCACCAUGAUGUGACCCAACUCUGUCACUCAGCUCCCCUCAAAUCUCAACACCUUGUAUCCCAAUGAUACAUUAUCAACCAAGCACAAAUGAGCUGGUGGAGGCCUCUUAAAAAAAAACAAAAAGAGGAUGUUUUAAAAUUUCAAUGAACAUUGAUGGCUUAUUUAGGAUUUAUGUUCCAGAAACAUCCUCUGUAGAAGCAAGCAUCUGUGUUCUUUUGAGAAGCUAGGAAUAGGAGACUUGGAGAGAAUGAAAGUUAGUGUCAAUCCAUGUUCUCAAAAGGUAUACUCCAUAGAGCUCAAGGACACUAGUCCAGGACAUAGAGAUUAUUUUACUGUUGAAUUAUGCUCUGGCACAUCUUAGCAUUUAAGAAUAUAUUUCUCCUUCUCACUUUCAACCAACUGCUUUUUUAAAAAACAGAGAGACUCAGUGUGAAAGUUUUUAAUGAAGAGCUGGGAAUAAGGAUUAGCGAGCUCUUGGUAGAAAUUGUCCUAUUGUGCUGCAUUUUACAAACAAGCAUGCCCUACUAAUAGGAGCAGGACUUCAGAGGCACCAGAGAAAUUAGGUGGCAUGAGCCGAAGAGUGGAUCUUAAAGUUAUUGCUGAACAUCUGUCAACCAUCUGCCAGGCAAGCUGAGAGCUCAGCACAGACGCACUCGAGUACUUCAGGGAGCCCAUACAAAGACGACACGUUCAGGGAAUGUCAGGAAGAAACUUCUAUUCCCUUCUAUGAUAGGAUCCAUGCUUUUCCAGUCUUCUUUUUCUCCUCCCACCACACCAUCACUUUCUUUUAUGGUGUGAAUGUUCGUGGUCCCUUUACAUCUCAUGCCUUCAAACAACACCAGAUUUGAACCUCAAAACAUUUUUCUUUUCCUUUUUCCAUCCCGUCAAGCAGUUUCAAAAAGAAAGGCAGCAGUUAUUAAAGUGAAUCAGCAUCAGCCAGCCAAUAAUAGGUCCUAAAUUGCUUUUCCCAGGAGAACCGCCUGAUCCUGAAAUAGGUGAGAAACCAACAACUGUCCCAGCAAUUGAAUUGGGCUAAAAAUCAAUGGGCACCUUUUUAAAAUAAUCUUUUGGUGAAAGUGGACCCCAAGAGUCAGCUGGUAGAGUCCCAAACCUUUCCCUCUUUCAGACAUGUUAAGAGAUCCUGGCCAACUUAAAUUUUUGUCCCCUUUGCCCAAUGUUUAAAAUGAAGCCGGUUUGCCUACAUUAUAAGACAGUUGUGAGGUGCCAUUGACUCCUAACUAGAGUACUUCAAAAUCCAAACAUAAAGGCCAAGGUCAGUGGAGCCUAGUAGGAGACUAGCCUUCUGGUUGUUAAGUCACAUCAAAAGAAAACAGUGUGGCCAUGUCCAGGGACAUGGAAAUUUAGAGAGCUUUGCUAAGCUAUUCACCAGAUAGACUUCCAGGGAGCCAACCUAUCAACACAGGAAGACACCACCCAGCCAAAAGCCAGAGAAAUUGACUUUCCUUGUGUGCAUAAAGCCCUGAAUUCCCACCUGGACAUGACCUACAGCUCACCUUACGUAUUCUUACAUAUGCCCUUAAUGCAGUUAAGCUUAUAAAUAAGCCAACACAUGUGUAAACAUGGCAUUCUCAUGUGGCCCGGUGGCUCUGAGCCUGCACUACGCUUACCCUGCAUGAUGAUGUUGGAAACUCUAAAGUGCACUUCGUGCACAGCAGUAUUUAAACUCAUCAUCACUGGGCCAGGGAUUUAGCUCAGUGGUUUCGCCUGCCUCGCAAGCGCAGGGUCCCGAGUUCGAUCUCUGGUACCAAAAAAAAAAAAAAAAAAAAAUCAAUAAACUCAUCAUCACUGAAAUAGAAUCAUGGUGAAAAGUUGGUUUGUUAUCUCCCACUGAGCAGAGACUAGCAGGAGGUGAUAAAGAGCACACCUGUGGUAGCAUAUGACCUGCAUUUACAAGUUUAUCUUCCAGAUUAAAGUGUGCCGUAAGAACAGGGUACUGCUAAUAGGGUCUGCACCAUUUCCGGGGCUCGGUUGACCUACAGGACAUUACUACUGGCUUCCGGGGGAACUGUCCAAAAUGGAGAUUCCUCCCGAGGAAGCCAGGAAACAGUUCUCAAUGUUACUGACUCAAAGUUUUAUUUUGCCAGUUUUUCUAAUUUUUUCAGUGAGCAUGGCAACUGCAGCAGAGGUUAGAGCUGAGGAAAGCGGGGCUGAGUAUUCUUUCUGUAAAGGAAGGAAGGACUCCAUCCCUGUAAAAUGAUACAGAAUGUCACUCUCAAAAAGUAACAGCAUGUCAAUUAGAAUGAAAGAAGGAAAUUAUGUAUGUAUGCCUAUUAUUCUUUGUGAAUGUCUUUCAUUUAUCUAAAAUUAUAUUAGAAGCCAGACUGAUAAAAUAAAAAAUUCAAAAUAG